RNAcentral lists this long non-coding RNA (1188 nucleotides) under Homo sapiens (human). Its description in RNAcentral is "HSALNT0325089". Lineage: Eukaryota; Metazoa; Chordata; Mammalia; Primates; Hominidae. The record is from RNAcentral.
UAAAAAUCCAAAAGGACUGGGUUCAGAGGGCUUUUGGAGAGCUGGACAUGUGGAGGCCGACAGGAAGGUGAAGAAGUCAUCUGCGUGCUGUGAGGGUGGCGCACCCCAACUCCAUGGGGACAGAAGGUCCUGCAUUUAGGACCCUUCCAGACCUCACACCUAUGUAUCUCUUCAUCUGGCUGAUUACUUAUAUCCUUUCAAAGACGCUUCUUAGUAAACUGUGCCUCCCUCACAUGGCCAGCGGAGAAGGGCCUUGCCCUACCUCUCAGACUGCAGCCCUGAGCCACUCCUUGGAGGUGAGGAGCACCAUUCACCUGAGCAGCUCCCCGCCCUGGUGUCUGAGAAAUAAAUCUGCCUUCAGUCAUACGGUUCUACCAAUCUGAGCACACGACCACCUGAUAGGGUACUGAGGAUGGCUUCUGACCUGGAGGCAUCAAGGACCUGAAGGCAGUAACCAUUUCAGAGGACAGCCACAUCCCUCAAAUUACAAACAUCUAAAAUGUCCAUUAACUGUUGAGUGGAUAUAUAAAUUCUGAUGUUUUAUAAAAUGGCAUACCCUACAUCAAUGAAGAUGAAUGAAUUACUUCUGCAUAAAACAAUAUACAUGCAUCUAACCAAUAUGACACUGAGUGAAAAAAGACAUCCAUAGAAGAGCACAGCUCACCAUUCAGGAGCAUCACCCUGGUCCAAGCCACCUUCAGCUCUCACCUAGACUAACACAGUUCUUCCUGUCUCCAUGAGCCUCCUCUCCAGUUGCUGUAUUGCAAAUAACAAUCAAAACAGCAUUUAAAAGCAAAACAACAACAGCAAACAAAUGGUAUCUAUCCAGGUCUCACUGCAUUGUCCUCACGGCACUUGGGAGCCAGGGGAACUGACACGUGAUGUUCAUACUUACUGCUAUUCUCGGAGUAACAAAAAAAAAAUUCACUUUCUUCGACCAGGAGACAUCAUGUUUUCUACCAGCAUUCUUGAAACUAUGGCAAGUUAACUAGUUAUCAGUGAUAAGCUGUGGAUAUAACUCUUUUCUUCAACGAUGGUCGUAAUGAAUCAACAAUGUUAAUGCAUGUGGAAGCAUCCAGUGAAAUGCUGGGCACCCAUCAGCCCUUCCUCCCGGCCUCCAUUUUUUUCUUUCCCUCUUUCUCUUCUCUUUCAUUACUUUCUCUUAGGAAAAAUAGUAAAUAAUCAAAU